RNAcentral lists this ribosomal RNA (158 nucleotides) under Aspergillus ochraceus. RNAcentral describes it as "5.8S ribosomal RNA". It matches the Rfam family "5.8S ribosomal RNA". Rfam says of the family: 5.8S ribosomal RNA (5.8S rRNA) is a component of the large subunit of the eukaryotic ribosome. Lineage: Eukaryota; Fungi; Ascomycota; Eurotiomycetes; Eurotiales; Aspergillaceae. The record is from RNAcentral.
AAACUUUCAACAAUGGAUCUCUUGGUUCCGGCAUCGAUGAAGAACGCAGCGAAAUGCGAUAAUUAAUGCGAAUUGCAGAAUUCAGUGAAUCAUCGAGUCUUUGAACGCACAUUGCACCCCCUGGUAUUCCGGGGGGUAUGCCUGUCCGAGCGUCAUUG